RNAcentral lists this ribosomal RNA (253 nucleotides) under uncultured bacterium. RNAcentral's name for it is "partial 16S ribosomal RNA". It matches the Rfam family "Bacterial small subunit ribosomal RNA", at positions 524 to 776 of the family's 1533-position model. The record is from RNAcentral.
UACGUAGGGUGCGAGCGUUGUCCGGAAUUACUGGGCGUAAAGAGCUCGUAGGUGGUUUGUCGCGUUGUCCGUGAAAACUCACAGCUUAACUGUGGGCGUGCGGGCGAUACGGGCAGACUGGAGUACUGCAGGGGAGACUGGAAUUCCUGGUGUAGCGGUGGAAUGCGCAGAUAUCAGGAGGCACACCGGUGGCGAAGGCGGGUCUCUGGGCAGGAACUGACGCUGAGGCGCGAAAGCUAGGGGAGCGAACGGG